Molecule: ribosomal RNA, 450 nt
Filed under: uncultured bacterium
Lineage: Bacteria
Description: bacterial SSU rRNA
Rfam family: Bacterial small subunit ribosomal RNA
Source: RNAcentral
GUGGGGAAUAUUGGACAAUGGGCGAAAGCCUGAUCCAGCCAUGCCGCGUGUGUGAAGAAGGUCUUCGGAUUGUAAAGCACUUUAAGUUGGGAGGAAGGGCAGUAAGUUAAUACCUUGCUGUUUUGACGUUACCGACAGAAUAAGCACCGGCUAACUUCGUGCCAGCAGCCGCGGUAAUACGAAGGGUGCAAGCGUUAAUCGGAAUUACUGGGCGUAAAGCGCGCGUAGGUGGUUUUGUAAGUUGGAGGUGAAAUCCCCGGGCUCAACCUGGGAACUGCCUCCAAAACUGCAUGACUAGAGUACGGGAGAGGGUAGUGGAAUUUCCUGUGUAGCGGUGAAAUGCGUAGAUAUAGGAAGGAACACCAGUGGCGAAGGCGACUACCUGGACUGAUACUGACACUGAGGUGCGAAAGCGUGGGGAGCAAACAGGAUUAGAUACCCCUGUAGUCC